Molecule: long non-coding RNA, 690 nt
Filed under: Linum usitatissimum (flax)
Lineage: Eukaryota; Viridiplantae; Streptophyta; Magnoliopsida; Malpighiales; Linaceae
Description: long non-coding RNA (LUSI_LNC006300)
Source: RNAcentral
CAACAAAAAGUAAAGACUAUUAUUAAACUACUAUCACAUGUGAAUAUUUGUUCUUGCUCCGCCAAGUGCUCAAUGAAGUGAUUCGGCUUGGAGAAUGUUCUUGUGAGCGGUUUCUCACAAGGUUGAUAGAAGAAGGAAACGUAAGAAGUCGUAUGCGAGUGUGGAAGACAGUGAAAGUAUUCGGGGUACUGUUGGGCGUAUUGCAACAAGCACAUGAGCCUACAGUGUAUCGGGUAUAUGAAUAGUGAUUUGUUUUAAAUGAGGAGGUCACCUUACCUUUCAUACUUUCUUUAGAUUUAUCGUAUUGUUACAUGUCAUAUGCUUGUGUGGAGUUCUCGACCGUUGAUAAGUAGAGUGUUGUGAAUGCCCAUACGACCGGCAUAGGAUCGAGUUGCCAUAGGCCUUUGAGCCAGUUGCCUUGAAUCUUCAGCAACGAUUACCUCUCCAAGUUAGUUAUCAAGAGUCUUCUGAAACGCCUGACAGAGACUAAGAACAUCAGUCCAUAGUAUGAUUUCCCAGAUCAGCAGCUCUCCUUCGCUCCACCGCCUUUAUGAGAUGAUCCAAUGAAAGAACACAUCACAUUUUGUUUGAAAUAUGAUAUACAGAAUGAAUAAAUAACGAAUGAAUAAAAGUUGCAUACCUGGCGUAUCAGAGGGACGGUAUUCCAGUGCUCCUUAUCUAGAUAGUCUC